This 497-nucleotide ribosomal RNA is filed under the name uncultured bacterium. RNAcentral's name for it is "partial 16S ribosomal RNA". It matches the Rfam family "Bacterial small subunit ribosomal RNA", at positions 28 to 507 of the family's 1533-position model. The record is from RNAcentral.
GAUGAACGCUGGCGGCAUGCCUAAUACAUGCAAGUCGAGCGAACAGACGAGGAGCUUGCUCCUCUGACGUUAGCGGCGGACGGGUGAGUAACACGUGGAUAACCUACCUAUAAGACUGGGAUAACUUCGGGAAACCGGAGCUAAUACCGGAUAAUAUAUUGAACCGCAUGGUUCAAUAGUGAAAGACGGUUUUGCUGUCACUUAUAGAUGGAUCCGCGCCGCAUUAGCUAGUUGGUAAGGUGACGGCUUACCAAGGCAACGAUGCGUAGCCGACCUGAGAGGGUGAUCGGCCACACUGGAACUGAGACACGGUCCAGACUCCUACGGGAGGCAGCAGUAGGGAAUCUUCCGCAAUGGGCGAAAGCUUGACGGAGCAACGCCGCGUGAGUGAUGAAGGUCUUCGGAUCGUAAAACUCUGUUAUUAGGGAAGAACAAAUGUGUAAGUAACUAUGCACGUCUUGACGGUACCUAAUCAGAAAGCCACGGCUAACUACGUG